This 75-nucleotide small nucleolar RNA is filed under the name Medicago truncatula (barrel medic). Its description in RNAcentral is "snoRNA gene22272". It matches the Rfam family "Plant small nucleolar RNA R71". Rfam says of the family: R71 is a member of the C/D box family of snoRNAs containing the C (UGAUGA) and D (CUGA) box motifs. The record is from Rfam by way of RNAcentral. Lineage: Eukaryota; Viridiplantae; Streptophyta; Magnoliopsida; Fabales; Fabaceae.
AAACCAUGAUGGGGACAAAGUAUAAGAAUUUCCUUGAAACACUCCCACGUAUCAUAAAGAGAUUUCCCAUCUGAU